CAAUAGCGUAUAUUAAAGUUGUUGCGGUUAAAAAGCUCGUAGUUGGAUUUCUGCUGAGAACGACCGGUCCGCCCUCUGGGUGUGUAUCUGGCUCUUUCUUGGCAUCUUCUUGGUGAACGUUGCUGCACUUGACUGUGUGGAGCGCUACCCAGGACUUUUACUUUGAGGAAAUUAGAGUGUUUCAAGCAGGCAUACGCCUUGAAUACAUUAGCAUGGAAUAAUAAGAUAGGACCUCGGUUCUAUUUUGUUGGUUUCUAGAACCAACGUAAUGAUUAAUAGGGAUAAUUGGGGGCAUUCGUAUUCAACUGUCAGAGGUGAAAUUCUUGGAUUAGUUGAAGACGAUCUACUGCGAANGNAUUUGCNAGGGAUGUUUNCAUUG
Molecule: ribosomal RNA, 379 nt
Filed under: uncultured eukaryote
Lineage: Eukaryota
Description: partial 18S ribosomal RNA
Rfam family: Eukaryotic small subunit ribosomal RNA
Source: RNAcentral